This 494-nucleotide ribosomal RNA is filed under the name uncultured Glomeromycotina. RNAcentral's name for it is "partial small subunit ribosomal RNA". It matches the Rfam family "Eukaryotic small subunit ribosomal RNA", at positions 591 to 1092 of the family's 1831-position model. The record is from RNAcentral. Lineage: Eukaryota; Fungi; Glomeromycota.
CCAAUAGCGUAUAUUAAAGUUGUUGCAGUUAAAAAGCUCGUAGUUGAAUUUUAGGCCUGACCGGGCGGUCCGUCUCUGGCGAGUACUGUCUGUUGUCGGGUCUAUCCUUCUGGUGAGCCGGUGUGUCCUUAACUGGGUGUGCCGGGGAACCAGGACCAUUACCUUGAAAAAAUUAGAGUGUUUAAAGCGGGCUUUUGCUUGAAUAGAUUAGCAUGGAAUAAUAGAAUAGGACGUUGGUUCUAUUUUGUUGGUCUAGGACCACCGUAAUGAUUAAUAGGGAUAGUUGGGGGCAUUAGCAUUCAAUUGUCAGAGGUGAAAUUCUUGGAUUUAUUGAAGACUAACUACUGCGAAAGCAUUUGCCAAGGAUGUCUUCAUUAAUCAAGAACGAAAGUUAGGGGAUCGAAGACGAUCAGAUACCGUCGUAGUCUUAACCAUAAACUAUGCCGACUAGGAAUCGGGCGACGUUAUUUUCAUGACUCGCUCGGCGCCUUAUG